This is a long non-coding RNA of Bombus terrestris (buff-tailed bumblebee), 3817 nucleotides long. RefSeq lists it as uncharacterized. The record is from RefSeq and is a predicted model, not a curated record. The transcript is spliced from 3 exons. Lineage: Eukaryota; Metazoa; Arthropoda; Insecta; Hymenoptera; Apidae.
GUUUACAUACAUUACCGAAGAUCGAUAAAUAUGGGUGGAAGAAGAAUAAGAGAGGUCAAACGAAAUGCAAGGACAUUCAACUCAAAAUUCGUCGACACUGUUUUCCACAAAGACAUGAUAUUACAUAUUUCCAAGAACACCUCAAACAACGUCUAAUAUCAUUCGGUUAUAAAAAUAGAUUAAUGCAGUGUAUAUGUAUGUUCGUUUGGGGAAAGACGAAUACAACGAGCGAAAUACUUGCUGCACGUGUUACGAUCGAUGGAAGACUUCGCUAAAACGAUAGGUGCGCCAAAGGGAAUCGAGCGAAUGAACUAUUUCGUACAAAUAAAUGAUCACUCAUUCAUAAAUAAGAUUUAAAGAAUGACGAUAAGGCACGAACAGAAAAUUUCACCGAAAACGAACCCCUAUUUUGUCAAAUUUUUCGACAAGUAUCAGUCAGCACGUCCACGAGUCGAUGUUUCGAGAGGAAGGAAAGACGAAACAGGAUGCGAUGAUAGAGGGGAUAAAAUUACCGGCCCUUGCACACGUUGUACGAUACCGGCGGAAAUUGGAUGCUGUAGGAUGAAGUAUAGAGGAAACAAAGAGCGUGCGAAAUGGGAAAAUUUGGGAGUUUAUCCGGACGUGAGCACGAUACGAUUUCGUUUGGCACUGUCCCACAGAACACACGGUAACCCCGUAUCGAUCGACGGAUUCCCAGCGCCUUCCUAUUUUCAGCACUGCAUUGCGGCAGAAGCUAGGUUACGGCGGCCCUUCUCCCGUAUUUUACAAGCCUUUUCCGCCUCUCUCGGUGAUCUGAAUCGACGCGCACGUGCGUGCCUUACCGUAUACCGGUGUAGUAAGGUCAGGCUACGCGUUUAAUCGAGAUCCGUCGCUUCGUGUACGCGGUUUGUUGUAAAAAUUGAUAAUACUCACAAUAUAGACCUCUGCAGGACGAACAUUUCGCUCCUCGCGUGCUUACAGCUGAUCGCCUCCCACCCGACAGGAUCACCGCGCGACUGCGCGUUUUCGGCUAAUCGUGUUCUUACUUGCUUGCUUACCAAUGCUGACCCGCUUGCCUGCGCUCGCCGCCGCCGCCGCUCUGUCUACUCUCGCACAGCUUCUUCCCUUUCGACUUCAAGUUCGUCCAUAUAGCCGGUUACGCAUACGCACGGCUGCUCCUUCAGGCGAUACACCGCACUGCACACGCGCGCGAUUCACGGUAUACAAUCUGCUGUCUUUCUACACGUCGAUCGCACACCUUUCUUCCUUGCCAACCUCUUCACGUUUCCGCGUGCUCUGCGGACGUUAACUGUACUGUACGAGCAACACAGUGUAAGUGAAUCGAUGUAAGAGCACAUAUGUACCUCGCCUGUGGCGAGGGGCAAUCAAACGUCACGAGAACACCCGAAUUCUCCCGAUCAGCGACUCUCACGUAUUUGUUCUCUGAUAGCAUAUCGCAAGAAGCGUCGCGACGCUCUGGCAAUCGACCUAAUUUCUUUUAUAUAUUGAAUUGAUUAAGAAUUUCCGAAGCGCAUUUUCGAAUGCGCAAGAAAGGAACUUUAGAGAACUGCAGGUGUUUUCUGUGUUUGUCACAGCUACAACUAAGUUGUAACAAGAUUUUCUCUAGUUGAUUUUUGAGAAAAUUCGUCGAGCUGAGAAUUAGGCAUUUGUUUUGAGUAUUUUUUCUAAUAAGCAGAGAAGAAGAAGGGAUUUUUAAUUUUAGAUGUUACUUAUUACGGAUAAUUUUAUAUUUAUUUGUCUGUUUCUUGCGAACGACGGAUAAUACCACCUGCGACACCACGAACUUUGAAAUGCAGGUAACAUCUGUGAUACGUGGAAUGAAUAUCAAAAUACAGGCGCUUGCCGCGGUGUGCCGCUACGUGUUUAGGUGAAAAUGGUCUAUUUCUGUAUGAGGAAUAACGAGGGUAUCUUAUCUACGAUAACAUCGCAUGAUAACAAAUUUAUCAAAUAAUUUAAAAAUAAACAUUGGUGUUUUAAUUGUUUGUUCGAUCAAUUAAAUAUCGUAAUAGUAUCUAUAAAGCUUAUCACUCACACUGAUGAUUUAAUUGAAGAAAUUCCGUUUUUACAUUAUUUAUCAGAAGAUCUAUUUUAUCGUCUUUGAGGUAUUAUCACACGAAUAUAAUAUUUAAAAAAAAAAGGACAUCUUUGGUCGUUCUUUCGCAAAAAUGUCUUCGGAAAUCGAAAAUAAAGAACGUGAUUCGUUUCUUUAAAUAAACCAACGAUACCCGGACACGGACAUUAGCUGCAUAAAAAAGUACGUUGAAUCUAACGCAUUUUAUUCUGACGCAAACGGGACGCGCUCUAAAAUAAAAAUAAAAUGUUAAGGAGAUUUAAUGGCGACAAACCUUUUUUUUUUAGUGUAGCCCACCCGCACGCGUUUUAUCCCAGUUACAUCUAUGUGCAUCUGGCAAGUGACCAAUGCCGUUAGAAAAACGGAAGGCUUUCAGCACGUCCUUUGUAGGUUAUUUUCACCUUUCGUACUUGAAAAAAUAAUUUUGUUAAAGAAUAGUGACGUUUUACCGUUGUACGAGAGCUUGCACACCGUUUGUCCGCGUUCUAAUUGCUACAGAUAAUUAUCUCAAACAAUUUCACUCGGACGUUUAUACAACGUGAACAGAGUAUUCUCAUUUCAUAGCACUUUAAGCUCAAGUGGUGAGAUCUUUCCGUGGUUAACGAUCUUGCAAAGUUAUGGAGGAAAUUAACCAGCGUCUCUAGGACCAUAGUGGUUUGUUUUCAACGUGAAAAGAACACCGUAAAGCGAACAGGCAAUGUAGCACGUGAAAUUGAUGAACAGGUUUUCGUGGUAAAUCUACAAAGCAGUUCUCUACGUGGCGAACAUCUGCGGAGUUCCUGUGUAUUCGAUAUUCUGGUCGAUUAGCGUAUUCGAUAUAGACAGCUAACGUGAUGGCUAGUAUAAGUAAGGUCGUUUCGCUGCAAACUUUUACGAAUGCGAUAUACGUAUCCGCGUUCUUCAAAUACAAAUACACAGUUGUGAAUGCGGUUAAUAAAGCGGAUGACAUAAUGUUGAAGAAUUUGUUGCGCAAAUUUAUUGUGUAAUGACAUAAAUCUUCUGCGUUGAAAGUGAAGAUUCAGAUCUCUUCACCUGUGACACUGUGCUAUUUGCGUGUGAUAUCAAAGGCCAAAAAUGAAAAAUAAAAUAAGAUCGUGUAGGGUCAAAGGAUUAAAGUAAAUUCUUUUUAUAGUUUACACGACAAGGUAAAUUCUUAAUAUUACAGGUAUGUUAUUACUUUCAUAUCUCUUUUUAAUAAAGUUUUUUUUAUGCGGAAUAUGUAUGAAUUAUUUUGUUAAUUAAAACUGAACGAAGAUUACUUGGAAUAGGAGAAAAAGAAAGAUUGCGGUCAUUUGAAAGCAAUUUAAAAUAAGAGCUUUUAUUAUGUAUUGACACUAUAUGUAUCACUCCAAAGUAACUUUUUAUCCUAAUUAAUUGUUUAAACAGAUGACAACAAAAAUUAUGUUUUAAUUACGUUUGACACAACUGUUCCGUGUCUUUAUGAAAUUUCUGAUAUCUGAAACGAAAACAGAGCAGCAUAUCUUAAGAUUGGUAGUUUCCACAUGUAAAGAACAAAGUAAACAGUUAAAGAUAUGCAUUAAUCGAAUGUACAAAAAAAAAAAAAAAAAAAAAAAAAAAAAAAAAAAAAAAAAAAAAAAAAAACAAACAUGCAAAGAAAUUCUUAAUAAUGUCAGUUCCAUUUAGGAAUAUAUUUGUAAAAACUAGAUUUUUGAAAAUAAAUACAGCUAGUUACGUAUAUAGCUAUAUUUCAUGUAUUUUUAUUUUCAGUAUAUAUAUUUGACUUGC